GGCACUAGGUGUGCGACCCGAUCAACGGUUGCCGUGCCGAAGCUAACGCAUUUAAGUGCCCCGCCUGGGGAGUACGCCGCAAGGCUAAAACUCAAAGGAAUUGACGGGUCCCCGCACAAGCGGCGGAGCAUGCGGCUUAAUUCGAUGCAACCCGAAGAACCUUACCUGGGUUUGACAUUAUGGGAAAAGCCGUAGAGAUACGGUGUCCGCAAGGGCCCAUAACAGGUGGUGCAUGGCUGUCGUCAGCUCGUGUCGUGAGAUGUUGGGUUAAGUCCCGCAACGAGCGCAACCCUUGUCCUAUGUUGCCAGCGGAUUAUGCCGGGGACUCAUAGGAGACUGCCGGGGAUAACUCGGAGGAAGGUGGGGACGAGGUCAAGUCAUCAUGCCCCUUAUGCCCAGGGCUGCACGCAUGCUACAAUGGUCGGUACAACGGGCUGCGAUCCCGCGAGGGUGAGCGAAUCCCUAAAAGCCGACCUCAGUUCAGAUUGGAGUCUGCAACUCGACUCCAUGAAGCCGGAGUCGCUAGUAAUCGCGGAUCAGCUAAGCCGCGGUGAAUGCGUUCUCGGGGAUUGUACACACCGCCCGUCAAGUCACGAAAGCUGGCAACACCCGAAGUCAGUGGCCCAACCGCAAGGAGGGAGCUGCCUAAGGUGGGGUUGGUAAUUGGGACUAAGUCGUAACAAGGUAGC
RNAcentral lists this ribosomal RNA (689 nucleotides) under uncultured Actinomycetes bacterium. RNAcentral describes it as "bacterial SSU rRNA". It matches the Rfam family "Bacterial small subunit ribosomal RNA", at positions 812 to 1500 of the family's 1533-position model. The record is from RNAcentral. Lineage: Bacteria; Bacillati; Actinomycetota; Actinomycetes.